CACUUAUCCAGAAAGGUGGAGGGACCGGCCCGAUGAUACCUUGGCAACCACUAGGCACAAGCCUGGACGGUGCCAAUUCCGGCAGAGUGUAAUCUGGAAGAUGAGAG
RNAcentral lists this non-coding RNA (107 nucleotides) under Anaerolineae bacterium. RNAcentral describes it as "SAM-I sequence". It matches the Rfam family "SAM riboswitch aptamer (S box leader)". From Rfam's summary of the family: The SAM riboswitch is found upstream of a number of genes which code for proteins involved in methionine or cysteine biosynthesis in Gram-positive bacteria. The SAM riboswitch acts at the level of transcription termination control. The predicted structure consists of a complex stem-loop region followed by a single stem loop terminator region. The record is from RNAcentral. Lineage: Bacteria; Bacillati; Chloroflexota; Anaerolineae.